UGCCGCGUGAAUGAUGAAGGUCUUGGGAUUGUAAAAUUCUUUCACCGGGGAAGAUAAUGACGGUACCCGGAGAAGAUGCCCCGGCUAACUUCGUGC
Molecule: ribosomal RNA, 96 nt
Filed under: uncultured bacterium
Lineage: Bacteria
Description: partial 16S ribosomal RNA
Rfam family: Bacterial small subunit ribosomal RNA
Source: RNAcentral